This 2813-nucleotide long non-coding RNA is filed under the name Homo sapiens (human). RNAcentral describes it as "long independently transcribed non-coding RNA 1606 (LINC01606)". The record is from RNAcentral. Lineage: Eukaryota; Metazoa; Chordata; Mammalia; Primates; Hominidae.
UGUGGGCAGUGUUUACUUCAUGUCUGCUUUGCUGGCGGGCCAAGUAGCAACAGCUGCAGUCGGCGUGUUCUCUGAAGCGAGAAAGAAGAAAUUCCGUGGAUAGGGAGCCAGCCAGGUUUCCUGCAGAGAUUCACGGGAAGCUUUUGAGCAGGGGAGUCAGAAGAUGAGCGGGCUCUGGGAUGUCUUGGUCUUACUGUUUCCCUGCCAAACCCGGUGCCAUCUCGUCAUGAUCACCCACUGGAGAAGAGAGGAGAUUCUCACAGUAGACGAGGAGCCUGUUUUUCAGCUAGCUGCUGCAAGGAGCUGGACAUUUCUCCCUUCAAAUAGGACCUGGAAGGCCUGGAAGCAUCUGGAGAAGGGCAUGGCUGUGAGUAGAGAAACAGAGGAUACAGGCUAAAGCAGGAGGAAGCGAGAGGACUCACGGAAAGCCUUGCUGCACUCUCCAAAAGAGCUGCCCUUUUCACGUGAAGAGCUAUGUGAUCGGAUCCCCGGUUUGGCAGAGUAGACAUGCGAGAAGACUGAACGUUUCAUCGUUGAAACCUCUUAAAGGUGGAAUGUGUGGCAGAAAGAACGUCUGAGAAGCUCACGCGAUUUGCAGAAGGAACAUUUGUAGAAGAUUCCCUGUUUUCCGAAGGAAUGUCAAGUUCCAAAGAAGAACGUCCGAGAAGAUUCAGUGUUUGGCAGAAGAAACCUCUGUCAGACGUGAACGUGUGACAGAAGGGCCAUCCAGGAAGAUUGCACACUGGGCAGAAAGAAGACUUAAGAACAUUGCAUGGACAGCAGAAGGAGUGCUUCGGGAGAUUGCCUGGUGGGCGCCAGGAACACCUGAGAUGAUGUCAUGGCAAACAGUGGAAAUGAGAGAAAGAUGAUGGAGCUGCUAAACCUUGCCCAUUUUGAUCUGUUAUGUGAGACUUGCCUUUCGCCUUCUGUCAUGAUUGUGAAGUGUCCCCAGCCAUGUGGAACUGACACAUAUUGCUUGUCUCUGAACUUCUCAGCUGCCUGCAGAUCUUCCUGUUUUUCAGCUGCAGUUAGGGUUUGUCUGAGGAGAAGCAUAACAUCCCUCCAGGCCAAAUGCUCCACAAAUAAAUGUGUUGAAUGAAUGAACAAAUGAAUAAGCGAAGUGAAUGGAACAUCAAACUGCAUAAAAAUAUAUUUAUUCAUAAAUGAGAGGUGAUGAUUGCCAACAUAUCAUAAUCAGACUCUGACCUUGGUUACUUAUGAGUUUGACAACGAAGAGGAAAGAGGAUCAGGGUCGGCUUUGUUGCCCACUUGGAGUGUAGUGGCACAACCUUGGCUCACUGCAACCUUCUCCUGAAGUACAUAUUAGCUCACCUGGGCUCAAGUGAUCCUCCCACCUCAGUCUUUUGAGUAUCUGGGAUUAUUGGCAUGUGCCACCAAGCCUUGCUAAUUUUUGUAUUUUUUGUAGACACAGGAUUUUGCCACGUUGGCCAGAUUUGUCUUGAACUCCUAAGCUCCAGUGAUCCACCCACCUUGGCCUCCCAAAGUGCUAGGAUUACACGUGUCACCAUCGUGGCCAACCAGCAAGCUCUCUUUUAAUGAUUCAGAGUCUCAGGCCAUAGCAGUAUAAGUAUCAAAACAUCUAUUCCCAACUUGGAGUUGAGAUUUCUAAUACGAAUUCUAUUUUCUCCAUAAUCAUAAAAUAGCAUCAGGAAAAGUCUCUUGACAUCUUAAAAUACAUAUCACUGGAAAGUAGAUCUUUUUGUCCUUCAGAUAAACAUACUGUAAAAUUUGAAAUGAAAAUUAUUCUUUGUACCACCAUUCUGAUUUUACCCAGGGUUAACACAAAAGUUAUAGCAGUACAUGAAGCUCUGAGGCUUCAAUGGGUGUAGAUAUAGACAUCCAAACCUAUAAUUUUACAUUAAUCAGAAUACUAUUCAUAUAAAUCACAAAUGGCAAAACCAUUUCUGAAGGUAUUUGGUUUUAUAGAUUAUAAAAUUAAACUUCCUUAUAAUUGUGUCCAAACUGAAAUAUGCUUCCUGUACAAAAAAGCUUUCUUCUAACAGUAAAGGCCUCCUCCCAACCCACCCGACACAUACACACACACACACACACACACACACACACACACACACACACGAAGAGAGAGAGAGAAUUUAGAGCACUGAUCUUUUCUCUCUUAGACUAAUUAUUUUAACAUUAUUUUCAGCCACUUUAUUAAUUGUGGGGUUAAGGGUAGGAUAGAUCUAAUGCCCAUUUCACAUGUGUUGCAACAUCAGAGAUUAUGGUUUUCAUUAAAAACAUCAGAGCUAAAUUCCUUUUCAAAAAAGACAUUGUUACUGUUAGUACCUUGGGGAAUGUUGUAGUCUUAUGAAUGCUGAUACGUUUAUUUGAGCCAAUUGAAUAUUAUCUCUAAUAUAAACUAUAAUUUACUGUGUGAUUCCUCUUCCUGUUUUACCUAUAUAUACUCAAAGUGAAUGAUUGUGUUUAGUGAACAUUUCUUUAGGUAAUAAAAAUUAAUUUCAUUUAAGAAAGAAGUACAAAAUAGUUAUUAGAGCAAACUUUGGUAUUUGUAAUUUUGAAGUUACAUACUUUUGAAAUAAACUUGGGCUUUCAUGCCAUGUUGGGUUUGAGGAAGAUAGCAAAUGUAUAAAUUGAGCUCUCUAGUCAUAACCUUGCUAUAUGUAUUCCUGCUCAUUAAAAUACUUUGCGCCAGCAAAAAUGAUUUCCAACAUAUGUGUUUUGGAUGUAAUUAAGUAACUGUAUAAAACUAAGUAUGUUUUUUCUCCUUUCCCCAGUGACUGGAAAACUUUCAUACUUUUAAGGUAAUAAUAAAAUAAUAAUCUUUAAAGAGC